This 495-nucleotide ribosomal RNA is filed under the name uncultured bacterium. RNAcentral's name for it is "partial 16S ribosomal RNA". It matches the Rfam family "Bacterial small subunit ribosomal RNA", at positions 28 to 507 of the family's 1533-position model. The record is from RNAcentral.
GACGAACGCUGGCGGCGUGCCUAAUACAUGCGAGUAGAACGCUGAAGGAGGAGCUUGCUUCUCCGGAUGAGUUGCGAACGGGUGAGUAACGCGUAGGUAACCUGCCUGGUAGCGGGGGAUAACUAUUGGAAACGAUAGCUAAUACCGCAUAACAGUAGAUAUUGCAUGAUAUCUGCUUGAAAGGUGCAAUUGCAUCACUACCAGAUGGACCUGCGUUGUAUUAGCUAGUUGGUGAGGUAACGGCUCACCAAGGCGACGAUUCAUAGCCGACCUGAGAGGGUGAUCGGCCACACUGGGACUGAGACACGGCCCAGACUCCUACGGGAGGCAGCAGUAGGGAAUCUUCGGCAAUGGACGGAAGUCUGACCGAGCAACGCCGCGUGAGUGAAGAAGGUUUUCGGAUCGUAAAGCUCUGUUGUAAGAGAAGAACGAGUGUGAGAGUGGAAAGUUCACACUGUGACGGUAUCUUACCAGAAAGGGACGGCUAACUACGUG